CACUGCUGUGCUCGUAGCCGCGUUGCUUUCUCCACCCACCGUUCCUGUAGAUCUUGCGCACCUGCCGUAGCACGCCGUCGAAGAAGAGGGAGGGAACCAACGGAACAGAUACAUGAGCACAGCAGAGUGCCAAGCACUCGUGCUGCUGCUGAUGCAAGAGCAGGACCCACGCAGGAGCUCUUCGAAACAGCGUCAGCUAUCCUUCCAGACCCCCCCCCCCCCCCCCCGCCCGGCCGCACACAUACCUACCGACCUCUUGCUACGCUGAUACGCGUUGAACGCUUUCUUUAUCUUAUUCCCGUCGUACAUCGCUAUGCUAAGCAGAAUGCGGCGCACCAUGACAACCACGAAGGGGUUUCGCGCCCCACGGCCGAGAGGUAGCCACGAGCAACCCGCAGAGACGACUGUCUCGUCGACGAACUCAGCUGCACCACCGCCACCGCCGUCUGCGUCGUCGGCUCGCAAGGUGUCGGCACGCGGCUCAACAUUAGCGGUGCCUUCCCCAUCGCCGUCGUCAUCCUCCGCUUACUGUCGUAAGAGCCCUAGUCGCUGCAAAAAGGCAUCUACCAUCGCCGCUGCCACUGGUGACGCUGGCGCUGGCACCACUGCGUUCGACCCGAAGAGCGGCGGCUUGUCCUUCCCCCAGGGGCCACGUGGAGUGCUGAGCGGUCACUUCAGCGCUAAUCACCUGCGGCGCGCACCACGGCAGACCGACCAAGCUACACCGCGUGAUGGUGCGAGCAACACCGCGACCGCAAUGAGGGCACCAGCGGACACCACUACAGUUGCCACAGCAGUUGCGCAGCACACGGCGGCGCGCGCGAGCGGAGAUGACAGAGUCGUCGCGCUUAGCAGUAGUAACACGCCUCUGCUGCGCAAGCGGCCUCGCUCACUUUCUCCCGAUGAUCCCUACGCCGGUGGUGCACAUCAUCGUGAUGAGCCGGCAAGCACACGCGGUUGUGCGCCUUCCGCCAGCAGAGACAGCAACAGAGUCAAGAGCGACGACACCACACUGGUGCAGCUAUCCAUUCCACGGCUGCCCACUGCGCGGCGCCUUUCCACGUCGCGCAUCCGCCGCACCGUCUUCUACCCUCCCUCUGCGGAGCAGCCUCUGGCGCUCUUGCGGAGCUCACACGAUGCUGAUGGUGCCGGUGCCAUGGGUGCCCCUGAAUCCGCACCGGUGCCGCGUGUGUCAAGUGCGCCAGCGCCUGCGGACGUCUGCGUGGCCGCUGACUAUACCGUGCACGUGCAUCCUUGGGGCUCAGCGACCGCUGUGCCGGCGUGGACUGGCGCAAGCGACGCAGUCCCAGUGGCACCGGGUGCGGACGCUCUGAGGGUUCCUGGGGCUAACUCAGCGGUGUGUAUGGGCAGAGAGCCGCAUAGCAGCACCGCAGUGUCAGAGCAUCACAAGACUCCCUUGGCUGCGGCGAUGACCGCGUCGACGAUACUGUCACCAUCAACGCGAUCGGGAAAGCGGUUUCUUUCGGCAAUGGAGCAUGAGCAGCGCGACUACGCUGCAGCGAUCUCUCCUGCUCCUCCCUCGCUAACGUCAUCGUCGCUGCUGCCGCCGUACCGAUCGCCGUGCCACAGCGGUGCAUCUGAGCAGGUCUCGCCGGCUCCGCCUGCGGCGCCGAGCACACCAAAGGCCGCGCCAUCCACCCCUCCAUCACUACCCCUGCCGCUGCCGCCCUGCGACUCCACAUCUCCAUCGCCCGCGGUGCCGCAGCUCCGCGUGCAUGACUUGGCUGCACUGUCAUUGCCUUCGCUCAGUCGCGAGGCCUCGCUGCUCCCAAGCAACUCACGCCGUGGACUCUCUGUGCCGCUCUCUUCGCCGCGCCUCGAGCGCGCCGAAUCGCCACUAUCGCCGCUGUUGGCGGACAGUUCUCCGGCUCCCGCAAUCGGCUUGACGCGAGGGCAGGCGGGGGCUCUUGUCGCUGCUGCAGCUGCGGGAGGCGAGCGCCAGACACUGUCGUCUCUGGCGUCUCCGGCCCGCUCGGUGGGAGAGCUGGCGCGCGUUCAGCAGCAGCAGGCGUCGACGCACCCCUCUAGCGCACUCGCUGCUGCAGAGGAGGCCGAGAGAGAGGAAUGUGACGAGGCACUCGAGUGCGAGAUGGCAGAGGAUCUGCGCAUGUCGACGGACAUUGCUUUCACGCCGUCCGGCACCGGCAGCUGCGCACCGCCGCUCUUCUCGCAGUCGUCCAUGAUGCAAGAGGAAGAGAGGCAAGCGGAGGAGGAAGGCGGCGGCGAGGGGGCGACCUACAUCAUGAGAGACAGCGCCGUGGCGGUGGAGCGAGCUGACGACGAUAGUGAGCUGCGCUCUGGCCCAGGGAUGAGCGGUCAUGAGGGCAGCGCGCAACCACUCUUCCGCUUCCAAGAUGGCGCAGGUGACGUGCUCAUCUCUGGAUCAACGCCGCCUCCCUCCAUCGCGAUUCCAGCUGCGCUCAACGAACACGCUUUUCUCAGCGGCUGCAGCCACGGCGGUGGCACCGCUACAACCUAUUCGAGUACCACGCCCCCAGCGAGCUCGUUGGCAGUGCUGUCCAGCGCCUUCGCCCGCCUGCCGUCUGCACCGUCGACGUGGCCGAUCCGUGCGGCUACGCCGCCACAUCUUCCAUCGGUGCUCGCGCCUGGUACAGAGCUGUUGCCGCUCGGCGUUGUGACUGCUGCGGUCGCUGCUGAUGGGGGUGGAGGCCUGAGUGUUGGGAGGAUGGGCCCUGGACGUCAUCGCACCGUGUUUUCGUUCAGCUCGCUGCGCGUUGGCAACGCAACCGCCGCAGCGCUACCCGAUCCCUUCCCUGAGCCGCAGCUACGUCUGUGUCAACCAUCGGUGACGACGACAACAGACCAGGCAUGUGCUGGGAGCGCUCGAAAUGUGGCUGCCUCUGUGGCUGAGCCUGCUACUCCAGUCAGCUCGCCGCCCUCAGAAGCCUGUGCUACAACGUACCCACCUGAUCUGUGGCUGCCGUCGUUGCCGGCCGAGCACGUGAGCCCUCCGCGUGAUCCUCUGCUGAUGCGGGUGCCCAGUCAAGAUGGAAAGGCCGAGGGUUGCGCUGCUCACGGUGUUUCCCAAAUGGGCGUUGUGGCACCGACGCCGAUGUCGCCGGGGAGCGACGCGCUUUCCUCUGCGACUGGCGUCUCCGCGCUGUCGGCUGCAAACGCAGCGCCUCCGCUCUCCGACUUGUACGUCACCGCGCUGCCGUACCUUGCCGCGGCUGCUGCAGGUGGCAGCGGUGCACCUGCUGUGCCCGCACGCCCAGGCCGCACGUGCUUUACGCUGCACUCCGCUGCGCGAACGACAGGGACACUUUCUUCCUCUGCAGCCGCCACGUCAACAGUGGAGCCGACGGCAGCGGCGGCGGCUGCGUCGACCGGCGCGGUGCCACCGACACUGAGAGAGGUGAGCUAUCUCUCAGCCGAGAAGUGUUCCUUUGGGGGCGGCACAUCCGAACUGCAGCAGCUGCCAGGACACGGUGCUGUGCCACCGCAGGGAACAGAGGGACCGACGGCGUCUUUGGAUGGCGUCAGGUCAGCGACACCAAGGGCUACAAGGAAAGUGCCCAGCAGUAUGGAGAGCCGCCAUACGACUGGGUGUGCUCAGCAGGUCAUUGCCAACGCGCAGCCGGCGUUGCUGCGGCCCGUCGACUCAACACCUGCGACGGUGGUCAUGCACCGCACACCGUCGACUCUCACAAGUGAGGAGCCAGCGUGGAGUCGACGAAGCGCACCGUUCCCGCAACCGUGGCCGUUGCUCAACGACGGUUACCCGCCGGCCUUGCUCACAGUCGCUCCUGUAACGCCACUUGUGGGUUGCAUGGGCGCUGAAACGCCGACUGUGGCGGCGCCUCAGUCCGCGCAGGCACCGGUGGCCCAUGACGAGGCAGCGCAGCCCUACCCUCGAGAGAGUCGGGAGAUGGUCUCCUAUGCACCCCUUGCGCCGCCGCAGCCGCCGUCGCCUCCCCUCCCACGACCCGCUUGCACAGACGAUACUUGGGAGCUCUUCUACGAUCUGCCGCGUGAGGUCGGCCACUUCUACGCAACACGGCGCGGCGUCACGUCGCUGUACGACUGGCAGCACGACGUGCUCACCCGCCCCGAGGUUCGGCAGGGCGGCAACUUUGUCUACAGUCUCCCCACCAGCGGUGGCAAGACGCUGGUCGCCGAGUUGAGCCUCCUGCGGUGUGUGCUGAACCGCCGCAAGUCGUGCUUCCUCGUCCUGCCCUUUGUGUCGCUUGCGGAGGAGAAGACGAUGGCGCUGCAGCCGCUGACGACAGCGUAUGACUUCAACGUGGACGGCCAUUACGGCAGCUCCGGCCGCUUCCCGCUCUGCGGGGCGCCUGCAGUCUACGUCUGCACGAUCGAAAAGGCAAACUCGCUGCUGAAUCACAUGCUCGAGGAGGGCCGUGCCGACGAGAUCGGGGCGGUGGUGGUGGACGAGCUGCACAUGGUCGGCGAGUCCGGGCGAGGGGCGACGCUGGAGUUGUUUCUUUCCAAGGUACUCGUGAUCAACGCCGCGCGGCAGCGGAAGCGUGACGCCGUGGUUGCGCCGGCGACGCAGAGUCGCUGCAGUGCGAGUGGUUCGCGGCCAGGAUGGCCGGAGGAGUUGGAGGAUGCAGAGGAGGACCUCCGUGAGAGGACAGCCAUGACGGACACCACAAAGGCGGCUGCGGACCCCGGCCCUCUACAGAUCAUCGGCAUGAGCGCCACAGUCUCCAACCUCCGCACCCUAGCCGAGUGGCUGCGCGCCGCAUGCUUUGAGUACGACUUCCGGCCCGUGCCAUUGCACGCCUACAGUGUCGUUGGCGGCCUCGUGCUACGCGAUGGCCAGCGCAACGAGCGCAACCUCAGCGGCGGCUCUGUCACGCAGCAUCUUGUGGAGCUCGUGACGGAGGUGCCGGAUGCGUCCGUGCUCAUCUUCUGCGCCAGCCGCCAGCAGUGCGUCGACACGGCGAAGGGCAUCGUAAACUGCCUCAGGGCUCAAGCCAUUGCCGGCCAAAAAGCGCCGUCCGCGUGGGUGUCGGGUAGCAGCGAUGCGGCGGCGGAGGCACAGCACGUCUCCGUGCUUGGCGUACCGUUCCCGAGCUUAACAAGAGGGCCGGCCACAGCGGCUGCGAUGGCGGCGGUGCCGUCGCAGGCCUCGGCCGCCAUCAAAGGCCUCCUUGCGGACCUCGAGGCGCUCGCGCACCACGAAGCCUCGCAGCUCAGUGAGGUGAUUGCCUUCGGAGUAGCGUUUCACCACGGUGGCCUCCUUGCCGAGGAGCGAGACCUCAUCGAGACGGCGUUCCGCCGCAAACACAUCCGCAUCCUGUGCUGCACCUCUACGCUGGCCGCUGGCGUGAACCUGCCGGCGCGGCGGGUAAUCAUCAAAACGCCGUACGUGGGCCGCGAGUUUCUAACCAAGUCGCGCUACCUGCAGAUGUGCGGCCGUGCCGGGAGAGCCGGAUUGGACACGUACGGCGAGUCGUUCCUGCUGCUGAGCAGCCGUGAUCAGGCUCGCGGCCACGCCCUUAUGCACGCCGCGGUGGAGCCGUGCUGCAGCAAACUCCUCGAAGACGAUCAAACGCUCACCCGCUCGCUGCUGGAGUGCGUUGGGGUCGGGCUCGUGGCGGACUUCCAAAGCGCCUGCCAGUGGAGCGGCUCACUGCUGAGCAGGUGGGCGGUGGGUCCUGUGGACGUGUCGUGGCAGCCGCACAUCCCUGCAGCUGCCGCCCCGGCUGCGUCCGCGAGCACUGGAGUUGCGCCUCCCGGAGCGGCAGCGAAAGGCACAUGCGAAAGUGUCACCGGCCUCUUCCUCGCCUCCGAAGUCGGCUAUGACGGCGACGCCGCUGCCGCACAGGACUCCGAGAGCAGCCGGUCUGCGCCUGGCCCUCCGGCUUCACCGCCUUCCCACCCAACCUCGCCGACGUCGCCGUCUCUGACGUGCGUGCCGCCGGCUGCCAUGAACGCGAUGGUGCGCGCCUCGCUCGUUACACUAGCGCGCUGCGGCUUCAUCCGCGUUGCCUGUACACGCGCAGGCAGCGGCGGCAGCAACGGCGCCGGUGGCCGUGCUGCUGCUGGGGCUGCAGUCUGUAAGGACAGCGGUACCACAUCGAGCGUAGCUCUGGAGACGUUGCCGAGCGGCGUAUCGGACGACGCCCACGCAGACGCUUCAGCAGAGACGCACGACGCCUGCCAUGCGCAGGUGCAUGUGACAUCGUUUGGCAGCUCGUCUGUCCGCUCGUGCUUUAGUGUGGAGGAGGCGCUGCUGCUGCGCGCCGAGCUGGACGAGUUGCGCCACACCGGUCUCAUCCUGUCCGACGACCUGCACCUUUGCUACUUCCUCACGCCGCUGCGGGAGGUGGGAAAGUGCGACUGGGAGCUGCUGCGGCUCAUGAUGUCGCGCAUGAGCGACAGCCGCCAGCGCAUCGCGAGCCUGCUUGGGGUCGAUGCCUACUUUGUCGAUCAGCAGGCGAUGGGGCUCGGCGGUCCACUGCAGGCCACAGAGGAGGGUCGACGGCGCCUCUUCACGGCAAGGAGGUUCUACGUGGCACUUAUGCUGGCGGAUGUGUUGGCUGAGGUGCCGAUGGCGACGGUGGAGCAGCGGUAUAACGUGAGCCGCGGGCAGCUGCAGAAUCUGAUGCGCUCCGCCUCGAUGUUCAGCAGCUCCAUCACGAGCUUCUGUCAUGCGAUGGAGUGGUUCUCGCUGGAGGCGGUGCUCUCUUCCUUCGUCAAGCGACUCGGCUUCGGUGUGAAGCCGGACUUGCUGCCGCUAAUGGAGAUACGUGGCAUGCAGCCGCCGCGGGCGAGGGCGCUGUGGAACGCCGGCUUCAAGAAGGUCGCAGCGAUCGCGGCAGCCGACGCGGAUGAUAUGGUGUCGAAGGUGAAGUUGAUGAACCCAAAGGACAGCAAGGCAGCGAAGUUUUUUACGAAACGCUCAGCGUUGAUGGCGAUCCGGGAGGCAAACCUCGCCCUACAGUCUCAGAUCAAGGAGAAGAAGGGCGAGCUGCAGGAACUGACGGUUUGUUGCGGCGGUGGUGGCGGCGUUCGCGGUGUGCGCUGAAGCUGAAGGAGAGCACUCAGAAGGCGGAGACGGAACGGGAUAGCCUUGUGAACGCUCAGCUUCGACCAGAGGUAGUAGGGUGUGCUUGGGAGGGAGGGUGGGGGCCGUGUGGACCCGUGCGCACCCCAUGUACGUGCCUUGUCAACAGCAUCACUGCCGCCGGUGUCGUUAUGCCGACUCUCAGACGCGCUGCCUGCUUCCUUUGUUUAUCGUUGCGUGUCUCUCCAAAACGAAAACAGAAACGCUGGCGUGGGCGCCACUCCUCCUCUCCCACUGUGUGUGUGUGCGUGUGCGUGCAUCCGCCAGAGACGUGAGGAAGUGGAAGAGCGCAGCGCGUGAGACUGCUCUGGCCUGUGAGGCGACAGCACAACAGCCUCUGCACCUCUUUCUCUCUCUCUCACCUUCGCUGUGACGUUCUCAAAGCGGGGGUGCACCAGCACGUGACGAUCCGAGCGCGCUUGCGCACCUCCGCACCCGACACCUCACAGACGCUUCCACAUCUGUCUUUCGCUCAUGGCACUCCCGAGUGUGUCUGGCGGCCCGGUGGCUUGAUUUGCUUCCUCGACUCCAAAUCAAGGCGGAUGGCGCACCUCUCCCCCGCCGACGCCGCACGUGGCGCUGUCCUGCCGCUCUUCUUCGCUUGCUCUUCUCCUGGACGCCGCCCAUUCUCCUCUUCUACGUUCGAACACUUGCCCAUACCCGUGCAG
RNAcentral lists this unclassified non-coding RNA (7743 nucleotides) under Leishmania donovani. Its description in RNAcentral is "gene:LdHU3.23.2200(CDS-product:DNA_polymerase_the ta_(helicase_domain_only)_putative)". The record is from RNAcentral. Lineage: Eukaryota; Euglenozoa; Kinetoplastea; Trypanosomatida; Trypanosomatidae.